This is a non-coding RNA of Paramuricea clavata, 150 nucleotides long. Lineage: Eukaryota; Metazoa; Cnidaria; Anthozoa; Malacalcyonacea; Plexauridae. The record is from the annotation of a GenBank genome assembly.
AUAUUUCGGAACUGAGUCUAGUUCCUUCGAUAUCAGUGUAAUCUAAUAAUCAUGAUGUUUGCCGUAUUGGUGUAAUGUACAUUACACAGCAAAUAUCAUGAUUAUUAGAUUACACUGAUAUCGAAGGAACUAGACUCAGUUCCGAAAUAU